CACGUAGGGUGCGAGCGUUGUCCGGAAUUAUUGGGCGUAAAGAGCUUGUAGGCGGUUUGUCGCGUCUGCUGUGAAAUUUCGGGGCUCAACCCCGAACUUGCAGUGGGUACGGGCAGACUAGAGUGUGGUAGGGGAGACUGGAAUUCCUGGUGUAGCGGUGAAAUGCGCAGAUAUCAGGAGGAACACCGAUGGCGAAGGCAGGUCUCUGGGCCAUAACUGACGCUGAGAAGCGAAAGCAUGGGGAGCGAACAGG
RNAcentral lists this ribosomal RNA (253 nucleotides) under uncultured bacterium. RNAcentral describes it as "partial 16S ribosomal RNA". It matches the Rfam family "Bacterial small subunit ribosomal RNA", at positions 524 to 776 of the family's 1533-position model. The record is from RNAcentral.